AGUCAACGCUGGCGGCGUGCCUAACACAUGCAAGUCGCACGAGAAAGGGCAGCAAUGCCUGAGUACAGUGGCGCACGGGUGAGUAACACGUGAAUGAUCUACCUCCGAGUGGGGAAUAACUGAGAGAAAUCUUAGCUAAUACCGCAUAACACUUACGAGUCAAAGCAGCAAUGCGCUUGGAGAGGAGUUCGCGGCAGAUUAGUUAGNGGCGGGGUAAUGGCCCACCAAGACGAUGAUCUGUAUCCGGCCUGAGGAGGGCGCACGGACACACUGGAACU
This 278-nucleotide ribosomal RNA is filed under the name uncultured bacterium. Its description in RNAcentral is "partial 16S ribosomal RNA". It matches the Rfam family "Bacterial small subunit ribosomal RNA", at positions 32 to 320 of the family's 1533-position model. The record is from RNAcentral.